UGCCUCGUUGUGUUCCGAGCGCUGGCAGCGGCUUGUCGGGAACGUCCCCUGGCUCUGCCGGGGCUGGCGAUUGGUGCGUGCCGGGGAAGGCUGGAGGCUUGAAGGCCCGGGGGUGUGCACUGUGGUCGGUGACCUUUGUGGCAGAUGGCGGGCCUUGUUCCAGAGCGGUGGCGCUCGCCGGUUCUGUCCACGGUUCCUUGAAGAGGGGCCCGGCACGUGACUGCCGGCCGGCCGGCCGCCGCUGCUCAUCGAUUGCUCGGGCGACCGUGGCCUUGGAUCCUCCGCCGUCUCAGGCGCGGGGUCUCCGAGGAGAAAGCGUUCCUCCAGCAGGGUCCGAUUUUCCUGGCGCGGUUCGCCUCAUGCCUCGUCGCAGGGCUUUAGGUUUCUUCGUGGAAGCCUGUGGGCCUGGCAGAGACGGCGGGGGCCGUGACCCGAGCUGCCCUGCCGCGCACAGACGUCCGCCUUGGAAAACGUCCGCCUCUCCAUGGGUGGCGGGGGCGGGGUGUGUGUGCUCGUUCCGUGCCUCCUCUUGCCUUCCUGGACAGAGCCAUCCUUGGGGCCGUGUGAGGUCGUUUGUGGUGUUACAGGUGCCGAGGGAGGGUCCAGACGUUGAACGUGACGGGUCGAGUCCCGUGCGCACAGUCGAGAUUCCCUCGUGGCCGUCCUCCCCGGGGCUCCCUGGCCGCCACGUGUGUGUAGGGUUUGAGGUACUGCUUGGGGGACUUGCCUCGCAGGCCUGAGGUGGGCAAGGCAGCGCGUGGGUGGGAAGGAGUCCUGGAAGGCCGGGGUCCAGAAAGCGGGCCAGCUGUGGAAACGCCAGGUCCCUGGUCGCGAGUGGGCUCCAGGUUCGGUCGGGUCUUAGCGUGGGUCGUGGUGGCCCCAGACCACCUCUUCCUGGCACUUCCCCGGCCGCUGGCACCGCUGAGGGCGUGGGUGUAGCCUCAGUCAGCAGGCAGAGGCGCCUGGCCCCCGGUCCCCCGGUGGCGUGGCCACUGGAGAUCAGGAGGGGCUGCUGCUUCUGCCCUCUAGCCCGUGUCCCAGCGGCGCCAGCCUUCGAGUGGUGUAGGUGCUUUACGUGGUUCAGGUCCAGCAGUGGUCGGCGUGUUUCCGUCGGGCGCGGUUCGCGUGGCACGGCGUGCGGGGACACCGGGCGCCCACGGUCAGGCGGAGGGUGAACCUGCUGGAGUCUCGUGUUCCGGUGUUCAGAGGCAGGGGCUGUGAGAGAGGGAGCCUGUGGCCUAUUUCAGCAGGCCGAAAGGGCAGAGGUGAGCCGCCGGGCGAGUCGAGGUCAAAGCCGCCAGCGCGAGCUCUUGGUCUCGCGGCAGGGCCUGAGGCCAGGGAUGUGUGCGGAAGACGUGCUGCUUCAGGGGCUCGGGCCCCGCGCACCCGAAGACACGCACACGCGCCCGCCUGCGCGCCUUCCCGCGCUUGUGCUGUCACACACGCCUUCUUGUCACACCUGCGGGGAAGAGGUAGAGGCCAAGAAGAUGCAAGGCUUGCCCCGGGGCGGGGAGUCGGGGUGGAACCCUUGGCCUGGCUCUGGUUACCUGAGAGCCUGGCUGGGUCGCUGAGGCGUGCGCGUGCGAUUGCUCUGCACUUCCCAGGUGGGAUCUCCGAGCAAAGCUUGCCGUCGCCCAAGAAGAGAAGACCUGCCUGUCGCUUGUGGAGCGGAGACGCGAGGGAAUCCCGCAAGAAGCGUGGCUUCGGGUGCGCCCCGUGCCCGUGGGUCGCUGAGGCUGGGAAGGCUCGGCUGCGGUAGAUGACCUGUGCGGUAGACGGCGUCGCGCCCCCGGGAGGUUCGGCCCCCAGUGUUUGUCGUCCUAGCGCCUUGAGGAGACCCACAGGCCCGCGACUGGCCACCGGCCCCGUCUGCUCCGGAUUGCUGAGGCGGACAAUCUCUUUGACCCUGCGCCCCCUCGGGUCCGGCGCUUGCCAGGAGGAGGAAGCGUUUGUGCUCUGUGAGGUCGUCUGUGGUGUUCUGGGGCCGAAGGAGGGGGUCAUAGGUUGAGUGCGAUGCGGUCGACUUAGGCAAAGUCCUAAUUCCUUGACGGCUGUCGUCCGGGAGGCUCCCUGCCCGCCUGGCGCGCGAGGUGUUGGAGGCUACACCUUGGGGGACUUGCUGUGCAGGCGUGAGGGGGCUUGCCCUUUGGAGCAGGGAGCCGCGGGGUUGAACGUUUCCUCGAAGGCCAGCGCCCCGCAACCCGCAGGCGGUGGACAUGCCGCGUCGCUGCGUGGGAAUUGGCUGUGGUCUGAGACGGGUCUUGCCCCGGGUCUCGCUGGCUGUGACCAGCCGUUGCAGCGGGGUUCCCUGCUGGCCCGCCCAGGGCGUCUUGGCUUAGAUAGCCCAGACCGGAGUGCGGCCUGAAGGCGUCGGGCCCCUGGAGGUUCAGACGGGCUGCUUCUGUUGCGCCGCCCGUGGGCGAGUGGUGCCGGCUCUCGUGUCAGCCCUGUUGUCCUGGCGGUAGCCAGGUAGCCUUACCAUCAAGUGCCGUUCCCCCCGGCCCAGCUCGCGGGGACACGCUGGCCACGUGGACCUCACAUCCACGGUCAGGGUGAGGGUGUAGGUGGAUUGUCCGUGUCCUUUGCUCAGAAGGAGUGGCGCUCAGAGAGGGAGUCCGGGGCCGAUUGCAGCAGCCUCUAGCGGUGCGAGUUGGCGUCCUUCCUUGGGAAGUCACCGGGCUUCCGCGUGGGGUGGCAGGGCACGAGGUCAGGCAUCUGUGAGGACGGCGUGCUUUCCCGGGUGCUGAGGCCACCGCACGCGGAAGCCCGCAGGCACGCACGCGCGCGCGCAAACACACACACACACACACACACACGCACA
Equus quagga is the source of this 2821-nucleotide long non-coding RNA. RefSeq lists it as uncharacterized. The record is from RefSeq and is a predicted model, not a curated record. NCBI's taxonomy places the organism in Eukaryota, Metazoa, Chordata, Mammalia, Perissodactyla, Equidae. The transcript is spliced from 3 exons.